This 23-nucleotide non-coding RNA is filed under the name Arabidopsis thaliana (thale cress). The record is from RNAcentral. Lineage: Eukaryota; Viridiplantae; Streptophyta; Magnoliopsida; Brassicales; Brassicaceae.
GAUGGUAAGGUGAGUGAUUCCCA